This 92-nucleotide transfer RNA is filed under the name Salinarimonas soli. It matches the Rfam family "tRNA". Rfam says of the family: Transfer RNA (tRNA) molecules are approximately 80 nucleotides in length. The record is from Rfam by way of RNAcentral. Lineage: Bacteria; Pseudomonadati; Pseudomonadota; Alphaproteobacteria; Hyphomicrobiales; Salinarimonadaceae.
GGAAGGUUGGCAGAGCGGCUGAAUGCUCCGGACUCCAAAUCCGGCGGACGUGUCACAACCACGUCCCGUGGGUUCGAAUCCCACACCUUCCG